CUACGGGCGGCUGCAGUGGGGAAUAUUGGACAAUGGGCGCAAGCCUGAUCCAGCAAUGCCGCGUGAGUGAAGACGGCCUUAGGGUUGUAAAACUCUUUCGCUAGGGAAGAUAAUGACUGUACCUAGUAAUGAAGUCCCGGCUAACUCCGUGCCAGCAGCCGCGGUAAUACGGAGGGGACUAGCGUUGUUCGGAAUUACUGGGCGUAAAGAGUUCGUAGGCGGACUGACAAGUUAGAGGUGAAAUCCCAGGGCUCAACCCUGGAACUGCCUUUAAAACUGUCAGUCUAGAGACCGGAAGAGGAUAGGGGAAUACCUAGUGUAGAGGUGAAAUUCGUAGAUAUUAGGUGGAACACCAGUGGCGAAGGCGCCUAACUGGUCCGGUACUGACGCUGAGGAACGAAAGCGUGGGGAGCAAACAGGAUUAGAUACCCUUGUAGUC
Molecule: ribosomal RNA, 439 nt
Filed under: uncultured bacterium
Lineage: Bacteria
Description: partial 16S ribosomal RNA
Rfam family: Bacterial small subunit ribosomal RNA
Source: RNAcentral